Molecule: ribosomal RNA, 253 nt
Filed under: uncultured bacterium
Lineage: Bacteria
Description: partial 16S ribosomal RNA
Rfam family: Bacterial small subunit ribosomal RNA
Source: RNAcentral
UACCUAGGGGGCAAGCGUUAUCCGGAAUUAUUGGGUGUAAAGGGUGCGUAGACGGAGAAACAAGUUGGUUGUGAAGUCCCUCGGCUCAACCGAGGAACUGCAACCAAAACUAUUUCCCUUGAGUGCCGGAGAGGUAGGCGGAAUUCCUAGUGUAGCGGUGAAAUGCGUAGAUAUUAGGAGGAACACCAGUGGCGAAGGCGGCCUACUGGACGGUGACUGACGCUGAGGCUCGAAAGCGUGGGGAGCAAACAGG